Molecule: ribosomal RNA, 499 nt
Filed under: uncultured bacterium
Lineage: Bacteria
Description: partial 16S ribosomal RNA
Rfam family: Bacterial small subunit ribosomal RNA
Source: RNAcentral
GACGAACGCUGGCGGCGUGCUUAACACAUGCAAGUCGAACGGGCCCGCCCCUGUUUUUGGGGGUGGGUUGAGUGGCGAACGGGUGAGUAUCACGUGAGAAACCUGCCCCCUGCUCCUGGAUAACUGCUUGAAAGGGCGGCUAAUACGGGGUGUGCCGGCUGGUCCGCAUGGGCCUGGUCGGGAUAGUUUCAUCUUCGGGUGUUUCGGUGGGGGAUGGGCUCGCGGCCUAUCAGCUUGUUGGUGGGGUGAUGGCCCACCAAGGCGGUGACGGGUAGCCGGCCUGAGAGGGUGGGCGGCCACACUGGGACUGAGACACGGCCCAGACUCCUGCGGGAGGCAGCAGUGGGGGGUAUUGCACAAUGGGCGGAAGCCUGAUGCAGCGACGUCGCGUGAGGGAUGGAGGCCUUCGGGUUGUGAACCUCUUUCUCCGGUGGUGAAGGCCCUGUCCGUUGCGGCGGGGUUGACGGUAGCCGGGGAUGAAGCGCCGGCUAACUACGUG